Molecule: unclassified non-coding RNA, 341 nt
Filed under: soil metagenome
Description: partial contains 5.8S ribosomal RNA, internal transcribed spacer 2, and large subunit ribosomal RNA
Rfam family: 5.8S ribosomal RNA (bases 1-120)
Source: RNAcentral
GAUGAAGAACGCAGUGAAAUGCGAUAAGUAGUGUGAAUUGCAGAAUUCAGUGAAUCAUCGAAUCUUUGAACGCACAUUGCGCCCUUUGGUAUUCCAAAGGGCAUGCCUGUUCGAGCGUCAUUUGUACCCUCAAGCUUUGCUUGGUGUUGGGCGUCUUGUCUCUAGCUUUGCUGGAGACUCGCCUUAAAGUAAUUGGCAGCCGGCCUACUGGUUUCGGAGCGCAGCACAAGUCGCACUCUCUAUCAGCAAAGGUCUAGAAUCCAUUAAGCCUUUUUUUCAACUUUUGACCUCGGAUCAGGUAGGGAUACCCGCUGAACUUAAGCAUAUCAAUAAGCGGAGGA